Molecule: ribosomal RNA, 393 nt
Filed under: uncultured bacterium
Lineage: Bacteria
Description: bacterial SSU rRNA
Rfam family: Bacterial small subunit ribosomal RNA
Source: RNAcentral
AUUGAACGCUGGCGGCAUGCUUUAUACAUGCAAGUCGUGCGGCAGCGCGGGGGCAACUCUGGCGGCGAGCGGCGAACGGGUGAGUAAUACAUAGGAACGUAUCCUGAAAUGGGGGAUAGCUCGGCGAAAGCCGGAUUAAUACCGCAUACGCUCCACGGAGGAAAGCAGGGGAUCGCAAGACCUUGCGUUUCUGGAGCGGCCUAUGUCUGAUUAGCUAGUGGCGGGGUAAUAGCCCACCAAGGCGACGAUCAGUAGCUGGUCUGAGAGGAUGAUCAGCCACACUGGGACUGAGACACGGCCCAGACUCCUACGGAGGCAGCAGUAGGGAAUUUUGGACAAUGGGGCAACCCUGAUCCAGCCAUGCCGCGUGAGUGAAGAAGGCCUCGGUGUAAG